Molecule: ribosomal RNA, 320 nt
Filed under: uncultured Chloroflexota bacterium
Lineage: Bacteria; Bacillati; Chloroflexota
Description: bacterial SSU rRNA
Rfam family: Bacterial small subunit ribosomal RNA
Source: RNAcentral
GAUGAACGCUGGCGGCGUGCUUAAUACAUGCAAGUCGAACGGAGAGCUAGUAAUAGUUCUUAGUGGCGAACGGGUGAGUAACGCGUUGGUGACCUGCCCCAAAGCGGGGGAUAACAGUUCGAAAGGACUGCUAAUACCCCAUGAGAUCAUGAGGGUUAGAAGCCUGAUGAUGAAAGGAGCAAUCCGUUUUGGGAGGGGCCUGCGUCCCAUCAGCUAGUUGGUAGGGUAAAGGCCUACCAAGGCGACGACGGGUAGGGGGCCUGAGAGGGUGACCCCCCACACUGGCACUGAAACACGGGCCAGACACCUACGGGAGGCAG